Molecule: non-coding RNA, 351 nt
Organism: Lonchura striata (white-rumped munia)
Lineage: Eukaryota; Metazoa; Chordata; Aves; Passeriformes; Estrildidae
Source: RefSeq, a predicted model, not a curated record
CGGCCGGCAGCGCUCCCGCCGAGCGCCCCGGAGCGGGCAUCACCGAGUCCCCGUCCCCCGCCGCCCCUCCAGCCGCGGCCGCUGCGAAGUCACCGCGCUCGGGGGCGGUGGAGGCGGGCGAGGAACAACCUUUAAAUAUUGCAGGACCCAGCUGUACCUGGGCACUGCGCUGGCAGGCACGAGGUGUUCUCUGGGCAGAUCCACUGACUCAGGCAGUGAUGGACACCACUUUCAAACCCUCCAAAACCCUCCCUUCUGUGCAGUUACAUAGAUUUUUUUUCUGUGUUUACAUCAUAUAUCUGCAUAUUUUAAUCCAAAUGUAAGGUUUUAAAGUUUUUCUUUUUUUCUCUC